CGCGUAGGUGGUUUGUUAAGUUGGAUGUGAAAUCCCCGGGCUCAACCUGGGAACUGCAUUCAAAACUGACUGACUAGAGUAUGGUAGAGGGUGGUGGAAUUUCCUGUGUAGCGGUGAAAUGCGUAGAUAUAGGAAGGAACACCAGUGGCGAAGGCGACCACCUGGACUGAUACUGACACUGAGGUGCGAAAGCGUGGGGAGCAAACA
RNAcentral lists this ribosomal RNA (207 nucleotides) under uncultured bacterium. RNAcentral describes it as "partial 16S ribosomal RNA". It matches the Rfam family "Bacterial small subunit ribosomal RNA", at positions 568 to 774 of the family's 1533-position model. The record is from RNAcentral.